This 1346-nucleotide ribosomal RNA is filed under the name uncultured bacterium. RNAcentral describes it as "partial 16S ribosomal RNA". It matches the Rfam family "Bacterial small subunit ribosomal RNA", at positions 28 to 1380 of the family's 1533-position model. The record is from RNAcentral.
GACGAACCCUUGCGGCGUGCUUAACACAUGCAAGUCGAACGGAAAGGCCCUGCUUUUGUGGGGUGCUCGAGUGGCGAACGGGUGAGUAACACGUGAGUAACCUGCCCUUGACUUUGGGAUAACUUCAGGAAACUGGGGCUAAUACCGGAUAGGAGCUCCUGCUGCAUGGUGGGGGUUGGAAAGUUUCGGCGGUUGGGGAUGGACUCGCGGCUUAUCAGCUUGUUGGUGGGGUAGUGGCUUACCAAGGCUUUGACGGGUAGCCGGCCUGAGAGGGUGACCGGCCACAUUGGGACUGAGAUACGGCCCAGACUCCUACGGGAGGCAGCAGUGGGGAAUAUUGCACAAUGGGCGGAAGCCUGAUGCAGCAACGCCGCGUGCGGGAUGACGGCCUUCGGGUUGUAAACCGCUUUCGCCUGUGACGAAGCGUGAGUGACGGUAAUGGGUAAAGAAGCACCGGCUAACUACGUGCCAGCAGCCGCGGUGAUACGUAGGGUGCGAGCGUUGUCCGGAUUUAUUGGGCGUAAAGGGCUCGUAGGUGGUUGAUCGCGUCGGAAGUGUAAUCUUGGGGCUUAACCCUGAGCGUGCUUUCGAUACGGGUUGACUUGAGGAAGGUAGGGGAGAAUGGAAUUCCUGGUGGAGCGGUGGAAUGCGCAGAUAUCAGGAGGAACACCAGUGGCGAAGGCGGUUCUCUGGGCCUUUCCUGACGCUGAGGAGCGAAAGCGUGGGGAGCGAACAGGCUUAGAUACCCUGGUAGUCCACGCUGUAAACGGUGGGUACUAGGUGUGGGGUCCAUUCCACGGGUUCCGUGCCGUAGCUAACGCUUUAAGUACCCCGCCUGGGGAGUACGGCCGCAAGGCUAAAACUCAAAGGAAUUGACGGGGCCCCGCACAAGCGGCGGAGCAUGCGGAUUAAUUCGAUGCAACGCGUAGAACCUUACCUGGGUUUGACAUGGAUCGGGAGUGCUCAGAGAUGGGUGUGCCUCUUUUGGGGUCGGUUCACAGGUGGUGCAUGGCUGUCGUCAGCUCGUGUCGUGAGAUGUUGGGUUAAGUCCCGCAACGAGCGCAACCCUUGUUCACUGUUGCCAGCACGUUAUGGUGGGGACUCAGUGGAGACCGCCGGGGUCAACUCGGAGGAAGGUGGGGAUGACGUCAAGUCAUCAUGCCCCUUAUGUCCAGGGCUUCACGCAUGCUACAAUGGCUGGUACAGAGAGUGGCGAGCCUGUGAGGGUGAGCGAAUCUCGGAAAGCCGGUCUCAGUUCGGAUUGGGGUCUGCAACUCGACCUCAUGAAGUCGGAGUCGCUAGUAAGCGCAGAUCAGCAACGCUGCGGUGAAUACGUUCCCCGGAGA